GCCUGUGGUCUAGUGGUUCGAGCAUUGGACUAUGGCUCUGGAGGCCAGGGUUCAAGUCCCAGCUUGGCC
This is a non-coding RNA of Phrynosoma platyrhinos (Desert horned lizard), 69 nucleotides long. The record is from the annotation of a GenBank genome assembly. NCBI's taxonomy places the organism in Eukaryota, Metazoa, Chordata, Lepidosauria, Squamata, Phrynosomatidae.